This 293-nucleotide ribosomal RNA is filed under the name uncultured bacterium. RNAcentral describes it as "partial 16S ribosomal RNA". It matches the Rfam family "Bacterial small subunit ribosomal RNA", at positions 775 to 1067 of the family's 1533-position model. The record is from RNAcentral.
GGAUUAGAUACCCUGGUAGUCCACGCGGUAAACGAUGAGCACUAGACGUUGGGGGGGACUACCCCUCGGUGUCGCAGCUAACGCGAGAAGUGCUCCGCCUGGGGAGUACGGCCGCAAGGUUGAAACUCAAAGGAAUUGACGGGGGCCCGCACAAGCGGUGGAGCAUGUGGUUUAAUUCGAUGCAACGCGAAGAACCUUACCUGCCCUUGACAGCCGGGGAACCUUGCCGAGAGGUGAGGGUGCCUUCGGGAACCUCGGUACAGGUGCUGCAUGGCUGUCGUCAGCUCGUGCCG